RNAcentral lists this unclassified non-coding RNA (334 nucleotides) under soil metagenome. RNAcentral describes it as "partial contains 5.8S ribosomal RNA, internal transcribed spacer 2, and large subunit ribosomal RNA". The stretch from base 1 to 120 matches the Rfam family "5.8S ribosomal RNA", at positions 35 to 154 of the family's 154-position model. The record is from RNAcentral.
GAUGAAGAACGUAGCGAAAUGCGAUAAGUAAUGUGAAUUGCAGAAUUCAGUGAAUCAUCGAAUCUUUGAACGCGCAUUGCGCCCGCCAGUAUUCUGGCGGGCAUGCCUGUUCGAGCGUCAUUUCAACCAUCAAGCCCCAGGCUUGUGUUGGAGCCCUGCGGCUGCCGCAGCCUCCCAAAACCAGUGGCGGGCUCGCUAUCACACCGAGUGCAGUAGUUUACUCUUCGCUCAGGGCGUGUGGCGGGUGCUAGCCGUAAAACCCCCAACUUCUCAAGGUUGACCUCGGAUCAGGUAGGAAUACCCGCUGAACUUAAGCAUAUCAAUAAGCGGAGGA